GAUGAACGCUAGCGGCAGGCCUAACACAUGCAAGUCGAGGGAGAGGUUACCUUCGGGUAAUCAAAACCGGCGCACGGGUGCGUAACGCGUAUACAAUCUGCCUUUCACAUAGGGAUAGCCCGAAGAAAUUUGGAUUAAUACCUAAUGGUAUAUAAGAGCGGCAUCGUUUUUAUAUUAAAGCUACGGUGGUGAAAGAUGAGUAUGCGUUCUAUUAGCUAGUUGGAGAGGUAACGGCUCCCCAAGGCGACGAUAGAUAGGGGUUCUGAGAGGGAUGUCCCCCACACUGGUACUGAGAUACGGACCAGACUCCUACGGGAGGCAGCAGUGAGGAAUAUUGGACAAUGGUCGGAAGACUGAUCCAGCCAUGCCGCGUGCAGGAUGAAGGUCCUAUGGAUUGUAAACUGCUUUUGUAAGGGAAGAAUAAGGGGUACGUGUACUUUGAUGACGGUACCUUACGAAUAAGCAUCGGCUAACUCCGUGCCAGCAGCCGCGGUAAUACGGAGGAUGCGAGCGUUAUCCGGAAUCAUUGGGUUUAAAGGGUCCGUAGGCGGGCUGAUAAGUCAGAGGUGAAAGCGCUUAGCUCAACUAAGCAACUGCCUUUGAAACUGUCAGUCUUGAAUGAUUGUGAAGUAGUUGGAAUGUGUAGUGUAGCGGUGAAAUGCUUAGAUAUUACACAGAACACCGAUAGCGAAGGCAUAUUACUAACAAUUUAUUGACGCUGAUGGACGAAAGCGUGGGGAGCGAACAGG
This 749-nucleotide ribosomal RNA is filed under the name uncultured Capnocytophaga sp. RNAcentral describes it as "bacterial SSU rRNA". It matches the Rfam family "Bacterial small subunit ribosomal RNA", at positions 28 to 776 of the family's 1533-position model. The record is from RNAcentral. Lineage: Bacteria; Pseudomonadati; Bacteroidota; Flavobacteriia; Flavobacteriales; Flavobacteriaceae.